RNAcentral lists this ribosomal RNA (1081 nucleotides) under uncultured Rhizaria. RNAcentral's name for it is "SSU rRNA". It matches the Rfam family "Eukaryotic small subunit ribosomal RNA", at positions 577 to 1674 of the family's 1831-position model. The record is from RNAcentral.
CGGUAAUUCCAGCUCCAAUAGCGUAUACUAAAGUUGUUGCAGUUAAAAAGCUCGUAGUUGGAUUUCUGCGGGGACGGAGCGGCCGGUCGCAACUUGCGACUCGAGCUAGCGCUUUCCCCGCAUCCUGCCGCGAACCGUGCUACCAUUAGUUUGGUGGCGCUGGGGAUCGGCUCGAUUACUUUGAGAAAAAUAGAGUGUUCAAAGCAGGCCACACGCCUUGAAUAAGUUAGCAUGGAAUAAUGACUAAGGACUUCGGUUCUAUUUUGUUGGUGUUCGGGACUGAAGUAAUGAUUGAUAGGGACAGUUGGGGCGGUCUGUAUUCCAAAGCGAGAGGUGAAAUUCUUAGACCUUCGGAAGACAAACAGCUGCGAAAGCGUUCCGCAAGGAUGUUCCCUUUGAUCAAGAACGAAAGUUGGGGGAUCGAAGACGAUCAGAUACCGUCGUAGUCUCAACUAUAAACUAUACCAGCUAGGGAUCGGUCAACGUUUAAUUAUUCGACUUGAUCGGCACCUUAUGAGAAAUCAAAGCAUCUGGGUUCCGGGGGGAGUAUGGUCGCAAGGCUGAAACUUAAAGGAAUUGACGGAAGGGCACCACCAGCCGUGGAGCCUGUGGCUUAAUUUGACUCAACACGGGAAAACUUACCAGGUCCAGACAUAGUAAGGAUUGACAGAUUGAUAGCUCUUUCUUGAUUCUGUGGGUGGUGGUGCAUGGCCGUUCUUAGUUGGUGGAGUGAUUUGUCUGGUUAAUUCCGUUAACGAACGAGACCCCAGCCUGCUAAAUAGCGCGGCUGAGCUUUGCUCGGUGCGAGCUUCUUAGAGGGACUAUGAUGCGCGAUAGCACAUGGAAGUUUGGGGCAAUAACAGGUCUGUGAUGCCCUUAGAUGUUCUGGGCCGCACACGGGCUACACUGGCGCCUGCAACGAGCAUAUCAGCUGGCCCGAGAGGGUCUUGGCUAAUCUUUUGAACCGGCGCCGUGCUUGGGAUUGACCUUUGCAAUUGUUGGUCAUGCAACGAGGAAUGCCUUGUAAACGCGAGUCAUCAGCUCGCAUUGAAUACGUCCCUGCCCCUUGUACACACCGCCC